GAUGAACGCUGGCGGCGUGCCUAAUACAUGCAAGUCGAGCGAACAGACGAGGAGCUUGCUCCUCUGACGUUAGCGGCGGACGGGUGAGUAACACGUGGAUAACCUACCUAUAGGACUGGGAUAACUUCGGGAAACCGGAGCUAAUACCGGAUAAUAUAUUGAACCGCAUGGUUCAAUAGCGAAAGACGGUUUUGCUGUCACUUAUAGAUGGAUCCGCGCCGCAUUAGCUAGUUGGUAAGGUAACGGCUUACCAAGGCAACGAUGCGUAGCCGACCUGAGAGGGUGAUCGGCCACACUGGAACUGAGACACGGUCCAGACUCCUACGGGAGGCAGCAGUAGGGAAUCUUCCGCAAUGGGCGAAAGCCUGACGGAGCAACGCCGCGUGAGUGAUGAAGGUCUUCGGAUCGUAAAACUCUGUUAUUAGGGAAGAACAAAUGUGUAAGUAACUAUGCACGUCUUGACGGUACCUAAUCAGAAAGCCACGGCUAACUGCGUGC
Molecule: ribosomal RNA, 498 nt
Filed under: uncultured bacterium
Lineage: Bacteria
Description: partial 16S ribosomal RNA
Rfam family: Bacterial small subunit ribosomal RNA
Source: RNAcentral